This 253-nucleotide ribosomal RNA is filed under the name uncultured bacterium. RNAcentral's name for it is "partial 16S ribosomal RNA". It matches the Rfam family "Bacterial small subunit ribosomal RNA", at positions 524 to 776 of the family's 1533-position model. The record is from RNAcentral.
UACAGAGGGUGCGAGCGUUGUCCGGAAUCACUGGGCGUAAAGGGCGCGUAGGUGGCGCCGCAAGUCCAUGGUGAAAGCUCGAUGCUCAACAUCGAGUCGGCCACGGAGACUGCGGGGCUCGAGCACUGUAGGGGCAGAUGGAAUUCCGGGUGUAGCGGUGGAAUGCGUAGAGAUCCGGAAGAACACCGGUGGCGAAGGCGGUCUGCUGGGCAGUUGCUGACACUGAGGCGCGACCGCGUGGGGAGCAAACAGG